UACGGGGGGGGCUAGUGUUACUCAUCAUUACUGGGUGUAAAGCGUGUGUAGGCGGGCCGUUAAGUAUCUUGUGAAAUCCCCCGGCUCAACCGGGGAAUGGCUGGAUAUACUGGCGGUCUUGAGCGAUCUAGGGGCAGAUGGAACAAGUGGUGGAGCGGUGAAAUGCGUAGAUAUCACUUGGAACGCCAAAGGUGAAAACAGUCUGCUGGGGAUCUGCUGACGCUGAGACACGAAAGCCAGGGGAGCGAACGGG
RNAcentral lists this ribosomal RNA (253 nucleotides) under uncultured bacterium. RNAcentral's name for it is "partial 16S ribosomal RNA". It matches the Rfam family "Bacterial small subunit ribosomal RNA", at positions 524 to 776 of the family's 1533-position model. The record is from RNAcentral.